UACAGAGGGGGCAAGCGUUGUUCGGAAUUACUGGGCGUAAAGGGCGCGUAGGCGGCCUUCUAAGUCGAACGUGAAAUCCCCGGGCUCAACCCGGGAACUGCGUCCGAUACUGGAAGGCUUGAAUCCGGGAGAGGGAUGUGGAAUUCCAGGUGUAGCGGUGAAAUGCGUAGAUAUCUGGAGGAACACCGGUGGCGAAGGCGACAUCCUGGACCGGUAUUGACGCUGAGGCGCGAAAGCUAGGGGAGCAAACGGG
This 253-nucleotide ribosomal RNA is filed under the name uncultured bacterium. RNAcentral describes it as "partial 16S ribosomal RNA". It matches the Rfam family "Bacterial small subunit ribosomal RNA", at positions 524 to 776 of the family's 1533-position model. The record is from RNAcentral.